GGCAGCCAAUCAGGAGAAGGGUUCUUGAUAAAAAUUUAUGAAUGAACAUUGCCGUCACUGAAUGCGGGUCGGUGACGUCUGAGCUGUACUAACGCCGUGCUCACUUCCAGCUCUGGUGAAGGAGUCCGUGCGGCCUUCCUAUGAGUGGCUGAGCCUCAGACGCUGUUUUUCCGGGACCUCAGUAUCGAACUCCACUCAUGGCUGACACAGAUUAAUAGGAAGAGGCAAUGUAGACACGUGGAUAGAUCUGCUGACAUCACUUACUUCAUAUUCUGGGAUCCUCUCGCCAUCAUCUAGUUUCAUAAAGAUGGGCUACAAAAGAACA
Hyla sarda is the source of this 325-nucleotide long non-coding RNA. RefSeq lists it as uncharacterized. The transcript has 3 exons. The record is from RefSeq and is a predicted model, not a curated record. Lineage: Eukaryota; Metazoa; Chordata; Amphibia; Anura; Hylidae.